Ciona savignyi (Pacific transparent sea squirt) is the source of this 73-nucleotide non-coding RNA. Lineage: Eukaryota; Metazoa; Chordata; Ascidiacea; Phlebobranchia; Cionidae. The record is from Rfam.
GUUUCCGUAGGGUGGCGGUUAUCACGUUCGCCUAACACGCUAAAGGUCCCCGGUUCGAGACCGGGCGGAAACU